RNAcentral lists this long non-coding RNA (428 nucleotides) under Helianthus annuus (common sunflower). Its description in RNAcentral is "hypothetical non coding rna". The record is from RNAcentral. Lineage: Eukaryota; Viridiplantae; Streptophyta; Magnoliopsida; Asterales; Asteraceae.
UUUUUUUCAAAUUAUGAUUUUAUAUUACAUAUAAAGUAUACACACAGGUUAUUGGAUACAAAAAGACAGACACUUCAUACUUCAUCAAGGUACCCUUGCAUGACUAUACUUCAUGUAUAUGGAGGUGUAAAAGGGUGGGUACGAGAAAAGUUAUUCAUUUGGAGAUAGACAUUUAUUUGGCCUAUUGGCAAUAUAGAUGCAGAGGAAAUAUUUGAGGAGGUAUUGUUUGACAGGAUUGGGCAGCAAACUUUAAGGGCUCGGAUGUUUUCAACCCGCGCAAAAGAUUUAAAUUGAUUGCGUUUAUCUAUACUAUCGUAUAAAGCAUUUCACAAGGGUUCCAACCAAAUUUAAAUAAUUGCAACAUAUUAUGCUUAUAGUACAACAACUCAAUGAAGUUAGUAAAGGGAAUUAGUCUUUCUACAUGAGUA